This 254-nucleotide ribosomal RNA is filed under the name uncultured bacterium. Its description in RNAcentral is "partial 16S ribosomal RNA". It matches the Rfam family "Bacterial small subunit ribosomal RNA", at positions 524 to 776 of the family's 1533-position model. The record is from RNAcentral.
CACGUAGGGUGCGAGCGUUGUCCGGAAUUAUUGGGCGUAAAGAGCUCGGAGGCGGUGUGUCGCGUCGGCUGUGAAAACCUGCAGCUUAACUGUGGGCGUGCGGUCGAUACGGGCAUCACUGGAGUUCGGCAGGGGAGACUGGAAUUCCUGGUGUAGCGGUGAAAUGCGCAGAUAUCAGGAGGAACACCGGUGGCGAAGGCGGGUCUCUGGGCCGAUACUGACGCUGAGGAGCGAAAGCGUGGGGAGCGAACAGG